RNAcentral lists this ribosomal RNA (572 nucleotides) under Glomeromycotina sp. RNAcentral describes it as "eukaryotic LSU rRNA". It matches the Rfam family "Eukaryotic large subunit ribosomal RNA", at positions 110 to 621 of the family's 3401-position model. The record is from RNAcentral. Lineage: Eukaryota; Fungi; Glomeromycota.
CAAAUUUUAAAUCUACCUGGUUUCCAGGUCGAGUUGUAAUUUGAAGAAGUGUUUUUUACUUUCCGGGUUGGGUUAAAUCCUUUGGGAUAAGGUAUCAUGGAGGGUGAGAAUCCCGUGUAUACCAACCGCAGGAUYGUUUAAUAUACACUUUCUAAGAGUCGAGUUGUUUGGGAAUGCAGCUCUAAAUGGGUGGUAAAUUUCACCUAAUGCUAAAUAUAAGCGAGAGACCGAUAGCGAACAAGUACCGUGAGGGAAAGAUGAAAAGAACUUUGAAAAGAGAGUUAAAUAGUACGUGAAAUUGUUGAAAGGGAAACGGUUGAAGUCAGUCAUGCCGGCGGGAAUCAACUUAGGGGAAACUCUGAGUGCACUUCUUCGCUUGGCAGGUUAGCGUCGAUUUUGGAUGUCAUAAAAUGACUGGGGGAAGGUAGCUCUUUCGGGAGUGUUAAGCCCUURGUAGAUGUGAUGUCCGGGAUCGAGGAUUGCAACGGAUACCUUUUGGGCUAACCGCCUAGUCUCUAAUACGAAGUUGGGUUAUGGACAGCACGCUGACUGUGAUCUGAUUUUCGGUUAAA